AAAUUGAAGAGUUUGAUCAUGGCUCAGAUUGAACGCUGGCGGCAGGCCUAACACAUGCAAGUCGAGCGGUAGCACAGAGAGCUUGCUCUCGGGUGACGAGCGGCGGACGGGUGAGUAAUGUCUGGGAAACUGCCUGAUGGAGGGGGAUAACUACUGGAAACGGUAGCUAAUACCGCAUAACGUCGCAAGACCAAAGUGGGGGACCUUCGGGCCUCAUGCCAUCAGAUGUGCCCAGAUGGGAUUAGCUAGUAGGUGGGGUAACGGCUCACCUAGGCGACGAUCCCUAGCUGGUCUGAGAGGAUGACCAGCCACACUGGAACUGAGACACGGUCCAGACUCCUACGGGAGGCAGCAGUGGGGAAUAUUGCACAAUGGGCGCAAGCCUGAUGCAGCCAUGCCGCGUGUGUGAAGAAGGCCUUCGGGUUGUAAAGCACUUUCAGCGGGGAGGAAGGCGUUAAGGUUAAUAACCUCAUCGAUUGACGUUACCCGCAGAAGAAGCACCGGCUAACUCCGUGCCAGCAGCCGCGGUAAUACGGAGGGUGCAAGCGUUAAUCGGAAUUACUGGGCGUAAAGCGCACGCAGGCGGUCUGUCAAGUCGGAUGUGAAAUCCCCGGGCUCAACCUGGGAACUGCAUUCGAAACUGGCAGGCUAGAGUCUUGUAGAGGGGGGUAGAAUUCCAGGUGUAGCGGUGAAAUGCGUAGAGAUCUGGAGGAAUACCGGUGGCGAAGGCGGCCCCCUGGACAAAGACUGACGCUCAGGUGCGAAAGCGUGGGGAGCAAACAGGAUUAGAUACCCUGGUAGUCCACGCCGUAAACGAUGUCGAUUUGGAGGUUGUGCCCUUGAGGCGUGGCUUCCGGAGCUAACGCGUUAAAUCGACCGCCUGGGGAGUACGGCCGCAAGGUUAAAACUCAAAUGAAUUGACGGGGGCCCGCACAAGCGGUGGAGCAUGUGGUUUAAUUCGAUGCAACGCGAAGAACCUUACCUGGUCUUGACAUCCACAGAACUUAGCAGAGAUGCUUUGGUGCCUUCGGGAACUGUGAGACAGGUGCUGCAUGGCUGUCGUCAGCUCGUGUUGUGAAAUGUUGGGUUAAGUCCCGCAACGAGCGCAACCCUUAUCCUUUGUUGCCAGCGGUCCGGCCGGGAACUCAAAGGAGACUGCCAGUGAUAAACUGGAGGAAGGUGGGGAUGACGUCAAGUCAUCAUGGCCCUUACGACCAGGGCUACACACGUGCUACAAUGGCAUAUACAAAGAGAAGCGACCUCGCGAGAGCAAGCGGACCUCAUAAAGUAUGUCGUAGUCCGGAUUGGAGUCUGCAACUCGACUCCAUGAAGUCGGAAUCGCUAGUAAUCGUAGAUCAGAAUGCUACGGUGAAUACGUUCCCGGGCCUUGUACACACCGCCCGUCACACCAUGGGAGUGGGUUGCAAAAGAAGUAGGUAGCUUAACCUUCGGGAGGGCGCUUACCACUUUGUGAUUCAUGACUGGGGUGAAGUCGUAACAAGGUAACCGUAGGGGAACCUGCGGUUGGAUCACCUCCUUA
RNAcentral lists this ribosomal RNA (1540 nucleotides) under Klebsiella pneumoniae. RNAcentral's name for it is "bacterial SSU rRNA". It matches the Rfam family "Bacterial small subunit ribosomal RNA". The record is from RNAcentral. RNAcentral also lists the same sequence under 2 other names. Lineage: Bacteria; Pseudomonadati; Pseudomonadota; Gammaproteobacteria; Enterobacterales; Enterobacteriaceae.